This 502-nucleotide ribosomal RNA is filed under the name uncultured bacterium. Its description in RNAcentral is "bacterial SSU rRNA". It matches the Rfam family "Bacterial small subunit ribosomal RNA", at positions 29 to 529 of the family's 1533-position model. The record is from RNAcentral.
AAUAAACGCUGGCGGCGUGCCUAACACAUGCAAGUCGAGCGAGAAAGCUCCUUCGGAAGUUAGUAAAGCGGCGAACGGGUGAGCAACACGUGAGAAUCUACCCUUUAGUGAAGAAUACCCUCGAGAAAUCGAGGCUAAUACUGCAUACGUCCCUUCGGGGAGAAAGAUGGCCUCUUUGCUAUCGCUAAAGGAUGAGCUUGCGUACUAUUAGCUAGUUGGCGGGGUAAAGCCCACCAAGGCAAUGAUGGUUAACCGGCCUGAGAGGGUGUACGGUCACACUGGAACUUAGACACGGUCCAGACUCCUACGGGAGGCAGCAGUGAGGAAUCUUGCGCAAUGGGCGAAAGCCUGACGCAGCGACGCCGCGUGGAGGAUGACGGUUUUCGGAUUGUAAACUCCUGUUAAGCGGGAAGAAGCCUUGUUUCUAAUACAAGCAAGGUAUGACGGUACCGCUAGAGAAAGCACCGGCUAACUUCGUGCCAGCAGCCGCGGUAAUAUCGUC